ACGCCCGCGUCCCUGCGCCCCGCGCUCCGCCGCCUGCCGCCUGCCUGCCACUGCCUCCCGCCGCCGCCGCCGCCGCGGCCAGCCAAACCCUGCCCUGCCCUGCCCUGCCCUGCCGCCCGCCCAGGGCACGGGAGGCCUCGGGCACCCCGGGGACUGUGGGCGGGCGGGGCGCAAGUCUAGGCGCUCUCCCAAGCCGGCCCCGGACGCUCCAGGCCUCCUUCCCGCUGGCUUCCUGGCUAUAGAUUAGGCGAAAGAAACUUUGGUAAUAUAUUUCUUUAAAUCUUGGCUCAUGGAUCCAAACAAAUCUGGUCGGGUCUCCUCUGAAGUUCAGAAUAAUAUAAAAAGGCCCAUCCUUUGUCAGGCUGUAAGAAAAUAAUUUCUCAGAUACCAUUGUGUAAAAGCAUCCUGCCUUUGUCAUGGAAUCAGUGACAUAUCUUUCGUUGAUCAAAACAGCAGUGGGAGUACCUGUGGAGCAAUGAUAAGGAUUCAGGAAAUAGUUUACGAUUCAAGUGCAUCCUAAAGUUGGAGCAACCCUGGCUAGAAUAUCAUAGAUCCUUGAGUUGGCAGAGACCUUUCACUCUUCAGUAUAUUUAUAUUCAACGCAAAGAUCCUUCCUUCUAUAUCAUCCUUGACAACAGACCACCUAGAUUCUGUGUAAAUAAUUCCGAUGACAAGAAACGCAUUAAAUAAAGAGACCCCUUUGUUUUUAGAGUUUUAAAUGUUU
RNAcentral lists this long non-coding RNA (724 nucleotides) under Equus asinus (donkey). Its description in RNAcentral is "lncRNA (ENSEASG00005027985.1)". Lineage: Eukaryota; Metazoa; Chordata; Mammalia; Perissodactyla; Equidae. The record is from RNAcentral.